Molecule: ribosomal RNA, 253 nt
Filed under: uncultured bacterium
Lineage: Bacteria
Description: partial 16S ribosomal RNA
Rfam family: Bacterial small subunit ribosomal RNA
Source: RNAcentral
UACGGGGGGAGCAAACGUUGUUCGGAAUCACUGGGCGUAAAGGGCGCGUAGGUGGCGACCCAAGUCGAUGGUGAAAGCUCGCCGCUCAACGGCGAGUCGGCCACCGAUACUGGGUUGCUCGAGCACUGUAGAGGCUAAUGGAAUUCCGGGUGUAGCGGUGGAAUGCGUAGAGAUCCGGAAGAACACCGGUGGCGAAGGCGGUUAGCUGGGCAGUUGCUGACACUGAGGCGCGACAGCGUGGGGAGCAAACAGG